This 25-nucleotide non-coding RNA is filed under the name Rattus norvegicus (Norway rat). Lineage: Eukaryota; Metazoa; Chordata; Mammalia; Rodentia; Muridae. The record is from RNAcentral.
UUCUACUCCUGGGUGCUUCGGAAUU